GAAACCGACCUGGCUCACACCGGUCUAAACUCAGAUCAUGUAAAAUUUUAAAGGUCGAACAGACCUAAUCCUUUAGCUUCUACACCAAAAAUAAAUUUUAAUCCAACAUCGAGGUCGCAAUCUUCUUCUUCGAUAAGAACUCUAGAAGAAAUUACGCUGUUAUCCCUAAGGUAAUUUAAUCUUAUAAUCUAAAUAUUAGGAUCAUAAAUAUACAAAUAAAUAAUAUAAUACAAAAAAAGUUUACCUAAUUUUUCUAUCACCCCAACAAAAUAUUUCACCCCUCAGAUUUGGAUAAAAAAUCUAAAAUCCAAGCCUAAAAAAUAAAUAUAAAACUCUAUAGGGUCUUCUCGUCUUCUAUAAACAUUUAAGCUUUUUCACUUAAAAAUAAAAUUUUAAUAAAUUCUCCCAGAGACAGCAAUCUUCUCAUCAAACCCUUCAUUCCAGCUUCCAAUUAAGAAACUAGUGAUUAUGCUACCUUUGCACGGUCAAAAUACCGCGGCCAUUUAACUACUCAGUGGGCAGGCCAGACUUGAAAUAAUAAUCAACAAGCC
Molecule: ribosomal RNA, 551 nt
Filed under: Trigonopterus alaspurwensis
Lineage: Eukaryota; Metazoa; Arthropoda; Insecta; Coleoptera; Curculionidae
Description: partial 16S ribosomal RNA
Source: RNAcentral